Molecule: non-coding RNA, 156 nt
Filed under: human gut metagenome
Source: RNAcentral
GGAGAAACUUAGAAGUUCUUCUAUUUCAUUUUAUAACCAGCAAUGCCCGGACACGGAUGUCCGGGCAAGGAGCAAUCGAACCUGGAUGGUUCGUUGUGACGUUUGCGUUAUACUUCAAAAUCUUACAUGAAAUAGUUAGAACUUCUUAGUUUCGGA